AGAUUGAACGCUGGCGGCAUGCCUUACACAUGCAAGUCGAACGGCAGCACGGGAGCAAUCCUGGUGGCGAGUGGCGAACGGGUGAGUAAUAUAUCGGAACGUGCCCAGUCGUGGGGGAUAACGCAGCGAAAGCUGUGCUAAUACCGCAUACGAUCUAUGGAUGAAAGCGGGGGAUCGCAAGACCUCGCGCGAAUUGGAGCGGCCGAUAUCAGAUUAGCUAGUUGGUGGGUAAAAGCCUAACCAAGGCGACGAUCUGUAGCUGGUCUGAGAGGACGACCAGCCACACUGGACUGAGACACGGUCCAGACCUCGUACGGGAGGCAGGUCAGGUGGGGUAAUUUUGGGACAAGUGGGCGACGAAGCCUGACUCCAGCAA
Molecule: ribosomal RNA, 376 nt
Filed under: uncultured soil bacterium
Lineage: Bacteria
Description: bacterial SSU rRNA
Rfam family: Bacterial small subunit ribosomal RNA
Source: RNAcentral